GACGAACGCUGGCGGCGUGCUUAACACAUGCAAGUCGAACGGUACUUAGGACGAUAGUAAUAUUGACCUAAGUAUAGUGGCGGACGGGUGAGUAACGCGUGAGCGACCUACCUUAAAGAGGGGGACAACAUCCGGAAACGGAUGCUAAUACCGCAUAAGACCACGGGGAUGCAUGUCUCUGAGGUCAAAGGAGAAAUCCGCUUUAAGAUGGGCUCGCGUCCCAUUAGCUAGUUGGUGAGGUAACGGCCCACCAAGGCGACGAUGGGUAGCCGACCUGAGAGGGUGAUCGGCCACACUGGAACUGAGACACGGUCCAGACUCCUACGGGAGGCAGCAGUGGGGAAUAUUGGGCAAUGGGCGAAAGCCUGACCCAGCAACGCCGCGUGAUUGAAGAAGGCCUUCGGGUUGUAAAGAUCUGUCCUAUGGGACGAAAAAAAUGACGGUACCAUAGGAGGAAGCCCCGGCUAACUACGUG
RNAcentral lists this ribosomal RNA (475 nucleotides) under uncultured organism. RNAcentral's name for it is "bacterial SSU rRNA". It matches the Rfam family "Bacterial small subunit ribosomal RNA", at positions 28 to 507 of the family's 1533-position model. The record is from RNAcentral.